This is a long non-coding RNA of Helianthus annuus (common sunflower), 3144 nucleotides long. RefSeq lists it as uncharacterized. The transcript has 3 exons. NCBI's taxonomy places the organism in Eukaryota, Viridiplantae, Streptophyta, Magnoliopsida, Asterales, Asteraceae. The record is from RefSeq and is a predicted model, not a curated record.
UAUAAGUACUCUAUGAUCACACUUUCAUUACUUUGUGUGACCAGUCUUCAGUUACCCGCAAAAUUCACCAAAAAAAUUUCAAUUCCCUGCUAAUCUCCAUCAAGCUCCAUCCUUUUCACUGAGCUUACUCAUCCCUCCGCUCCAGUGCCUACGUUUGCAACCAAUAACUAUCCCCUACAUAAUAGUCCUAAUUUUGAAAUCAAAAACCCUAGGUUUACAGAGGAAGACGAUGUGAAAGUUUUGUAUUUCUUUGAGACUGAUUCAGGAUAAUUUCAGUUGCUAAGAAUCUGAAUACGGAUACGAUGGAUUAUGUAGAUCUUACAACGAUAAAUCCUAUAGAGAGAACGAUAUUGCAUUACCAGCUGCUCUUUUGAGGUACACAGUUAUUGUAUAGGAUUCGCAAUCGUUUCUAGAUGACGGCUGGUGCUGAAAUUGUUUGCAGUGAGGUGGUUCGUAAGGUGGAGACUAUGGACAAGUGUGGUUCUGGUGUGAAUGCAGUGGUGGUGUUGCUACUGUUGAUUAUAAUGUCGGUGGUAAUGGUAAUUGUAAUGGCAACGGCGAUUCCGACUAUGUGUAUGUGAACAGGAGUGUCGUGGUGAGUUUGUGAUGCAGGUGGUGUUAAUGUUGAUGGUGAAGUUGAGCAGUUUAAGAAUGAAGGGGCGACUGUUGAUCCGUUGGUGUUGGAGACUAAUGGUGUUGUUCACAGGGCUAUGAGUAUAACAAUAAGUGUUACAGAGGUAAGUGCGGUUAAAGACGAUGUAAAUGUUGAGAAUGGAUUCGUUGUUGAUCCUCAUGUGGUCCUGGUGAGUAAUGGUAUUGGUAAGAAACAAGUUGGUUAAGUAUUUUUUUUAAAUCUUUUAUCCAUGGUACCUUCUUUGAUUAUUUCUUGGUAACUAUGAAUUUCUUCUGGGAUCCUUACACAAUCCAUUGCAGAUCCGACUAUAAUCUUUGAAUACUGUAUUCUUUUGUGAUGUUUUGAUCUUCUGAUUUUGUCUUCUUUGUUUAGAAUUUAAUUUUCUGAUAACGUAGUUGUAUAAUACCCCAAUUUUUGCUGCAACUUAGAGUGCUAGCUGGAGCAUCGUUGGACUAAAGGUAAGUCUUGGUUACCCCAGUUCUUUUAGCAAACUGAAGAUUUUCGUAUUAAUUUUCUUACAGUAAUAUUUUAUUCGGACGUGAAUGGUACAAUUACUUUGAAGUUUGAAAAUUAGGGCUCGAUUUGGACCACAGUUGAUAUGAUUUUAUUUGUUUAAGUCUGCUGCAAAUUUUGUAAUCUAUAUAUAUACACAUAUCAUGUUGUUCAUUGAUGAUGUUUCUUGAUCAGUUGACUUGACUGGCACUUAGAACUAUAUGUUUGUGAUUGCCGAUUAACUGAAAGUGACUAGUUAUAGAAAUCUUAAACUGCAUGUAUAGCUAUGUUGUCAAAGACGCAAGGCGCAGGCAUCGGCCUCGCCCGGAGCCUAGGUGCAAGGCGCAAAAAAAGCGUGGGCUUUUUUAAGAAAAGCGCACAUAGAGAAAAAAAAAUAUAAAAAAUAUGUUAUGCUUUGAUAAUAAAUAAGAUUCCACAUAUAAAUUAGAAAAAAGUAUUAUAUAUGCCAUUUAAGAUCAUGUAGCAAAUAGUUUUGUACGCGUGAGGCAGUUUUGCACGCACUCGGUUUCGUUUUUAAUGGUCAUUUGUGUUGUUUUACCUUUUUCCAUGCGCCUCAACAACGUUUUUUGCGCCUAGGCGCGCACUUUUUGCGCCUCAGCACCGUUUUUUCAAAAAAAUCCCAUUUUUGCGCCUAGGCUACCACCAGGCGCUAUAGGUGCGCCUCGCUGCGCCCGGGCGCCUAGGCGCACGCUUUUUGCGCUUUUGACAACAUAGAUGUAUAAGUUGCGGUUCGGUUGAGGUUUGGAACUGAAUUGCCAUGUGUACACCACUAGUCUGUAUGAUUGUUCAACUGCCAUGUUUAAGUCCCUUUUUUGAACAUAUCAAAAUUUAUAACUCUGUUUGGCGUGUUAUACAAACAUUGGUUGUGGCUGCAUCUAUUUAUUUUGUUUGGCAGGAACGGAAUAACAGAAUUUUUAAAGGUAAACAAAAGUAUGCUCAGGUCCUUUGCCAACAAAUUCAGGAUAUUGUUCGGUAUAGAUUGUUGGGUCUCUCUUUUAAAUGGUCGCGCCAUGUUACUUUCGUUACUCAUGUUUGGAAUUUCAAGGUGGAAGCCUUUAUUACAAAAGCCUUAGUGGCAUAGUAGGUCAAGAUGGUCGAGGCAUAAAGUCUAAACUAUCUUGGAGACAAAAAGGAAGCUAUAAGGUGGAAAUAAGGUUUUUAAUGAAGAGAUUAAGAGGAUAUGAAGUAUGCAGAAGGAUAUAUGGUUAUAUAGUGUGGUUGUGGCUGAAGGAAGAUAGAAGGUUUACAAGAGAACUCAAGUUAUGACUAUGGGGUAUGGGGCGUGGGUUGGGUACAAAUCUCCAAGUCACCACCCCAGGUGGGCUUGGGUUUUAGCGUGGCCCCUUGGGCGGGGGUUUCAGCCCGGGCGUUGGGCGGGCCUAGCGGUCUUCCGUGGCCGGCUCUCAUUGGCUGGGUUGGCUAGGCUAUAGGUGUAGGAUUUAAAUUUUAAAAAACAACCGUUUGGCUUACCCCAACUACUAUAAAACCCCCCAUCGCCCUGUUCGAAAUCUACCUAACGCUUUAAUUAGGGGUUUUUUUAUAUGUCUAAUUAUGUUUUUUUUAGAUUUGUAAUCCUUUUUUUUUGUAGGAUUUUGUAAUUUUUAGAAAAUUUUAAUAAUAAUUUUAGGCUUUUUUUUAAUUUUGUGUGUAUUUUUAUAAUAAUUUUAGGCUUUUUUUCAAUUUUUUUAUAAUAAUUGACACGUGGCCAACCCAAGCGAGCUAGCCACGCCCGCCAUACCGACCCAACCCACACGUGACCAGCGGUGCCCCUCGAAGUCCACGUGUCAACUCUUGCCUCAAACCCCCACCCCACCAUACCCCACAGUCUAAGAUGUGUAUGUACACCUAAAGCUCAUCGAGAUGCAGUUAAAGCAAGCAGCAACAGUUUAGCAUUCCUAAGUGUCUAAUAUGUGUUCCCAGUUUAGCAUUCUUUUUCUUUAUCAAUCUUUAGUAAGUUGUUUAAAGAUAUAAAUGAUUACUAACUAGUAUACAAUUGA